GCAAAAUGGAACAGCAAAAGUGCAGUAUGGCACUUCUUUAUCUGAUGCAGAUUGGUUACAUUGAGGUGCCGAAUCACUACUCACUUUGGCCAACUUAUUUAUAGUUCUAGGCUUGAGAAGAGCCCUUAGGAAAGCAAAAGAGACAAAAGAAAGCACAACAGUGGGGAAUCUAGAAGAGAAGUCUUCUGUAUAGAUGUAAUUAUCGGAUGGCUGAAUCAGAUGUAUUUAUUCACUCAUACUAUAAUUUAAUAGAAACAAUGUUAGUACAAUUUAAAGAUUGAAGGACAUCAAAGAGAUUGGAGGAGGUGUCUGAUAUGGCUGCACAUAAAGGAUGAGAGAUUGCAGACAAGGGGAAGGAUCCAUCUGAGGAAUUAGAGUCACGGAGAAACCACUAAGGGUUCGUGUUGGUGAGAAGCUCAUUGGCAUGGAGCAUCGCAUGGAUGCCGUCAUCUCCUCCCUCUGAAUAGUUAGAAUAAGAUGCUUGAUGUGGAGUUGGAGGAACUUACAUGUUUUAUA
Long non-coding RNA from Rhodamnia argentea, 516 nucleotides. RefSeq lists it as uncharacterized. NCBI's taxonomy places the organism in Eukaryota, Viridiplantae, Streptophyta, Magnoliopsida, Myrtales, Myrtaceae. The transcript is spliced from 4 exons. The record is from RefSeq and is a predicted model, not a curated record.